CAAUCCAUGCCUUUUGACUUAAAAAAAUCAACGGCUUAGAUUAAUCCAACAUUAAAAAGUCUUAAAUUUUUUUAAAAUUUCAGGAACUUGGCAAAAAAUAUCCAAUUUUUUCGUAUAAAUACCUAACCAUCUUCUUCAUUCUACACACCGCACUCAAUAUUUAUUUUUACAACAAUCUCCUAUAUAUAUACAUUUUAUUUUAUUUUUACUUUCCAAAUCCUUUUGUUAACACAAAAAAUGAGUGAAGAAGGCAAAUUGGUCGAUUGGGGAAGAUGUUAAUUUCCUUCAGGCUUGGGUGCUUGUUACUCAUGACCUGGUCAUAGUAAAUGAUAUAAGGGUGCAACACAUGUGGAAGAAGAUUCAUGCACAAUUGGUCGAGCAAACUUACAAUGAUACAGUUCAACACGGUAACAAAGAUACAAAGUUCAACAUAGUAAGAAUGAUACAAGGUUCAAUACAACUACAAUGAUACAAAGUUCAAGACACAUACAAACUGCUCGAUCAAGUCAUGGUGAUGCUCGUUGUGGAUGUAAGUUGAAUGUACAGUCUCAUACGUUGAAUGACCAUCUCGUGGUAAUGACGCAACGUCGAUCCCUUUUAAUGGAAUGUGCUGGGCGGAUUCUUUAGUGUUGCCAUGAGCUUGAUAAAUUCUAGUAUGUGAAUUGUUCAUCAUGUCUUCAUCAAAGACUUCUUGGUUACACGACUGGUUCUUGAACCACCUGCUUCAUCGUUGUGUUGAUCAAUUGCAAGGACUGCUUCCACAACUUGAUAGGUGAUGCUUUUGUAGCCUUCGGUGUUGGGCAUGUCUCAUUUUUAGUUUAGCUUCUCACUUGUUUUCUUGCUCUUCUUUCUCUUGCAACAUCCUCAAGUUAUUCAUUGUUGAAGGAACUUUCUCUUUUGAAACUCUAUGAAUUGAGAUGAGUAGAUAGGAUGGCGGUUUGAGUACGUGUGUUGGUUUAAAAGGGUUUUAUGGAGAAAUAGGAGGAAAAUAGAAGAUUGGAUAAAGAUAUGCGACACUGACACACCCCGCCCCGGAAUGUCCAUUAGGAGUUCGAAUUGAGCUGUGUUGGGGAAGGUGACGAAGCCAUAAAGUGUAUUGAUGUGGUAAAUGUGAAUAAAUUUAAACCUAAAGUGCCUAAAUACAAGAGUGCGCUUGUGAGCGGGAAUGAACCCAUUUCACACGUGAUGACAGAGUAUAAGUAAAGUACAGUAAGGUAAAAUAAGGAUUAUACCAUCAAAGGUAGCCACUUAUACUGAGAUUUGCCAAGAAUCCUCGUCGAUACUUAAGCUCAGCUAUUAAAACCUGGAGGGGCGAAAAACAAGGGUGAGUGGGCCUAAAAAUAAAGUUUUAUAAAAACCUUUUUAAAAACGUUAUAACCCCUCGCCGUAAAACAAUUAUAGUUUCCAAAAUAUACAUACUACGUAUAGUAUGAAAAUACUUACCAUAGCCUGCAAAAUCACAAAAUGCCAUACGUCGCAAUAUUGCGUAAAUAAACACAUAACAGCCAAUAUCAUAUAUCCCGCAUAAACAAACAUGUCAUAGCGAGUGCUCAUCGACACAUGCUGACACACGAGUUCAUGUAGAGAUAUUCUGACAUGAACAUGAUUAGGUGUAAUAAUGAUAUAUGCUCUAGUACUACAAUCACAUGAAGACUGGCGCUAUGCGCAACACAUAUGAGUCAGAGUUGCCUAUGGCAACCUAUACGAUAGGACUAACACCUACAAUGGAUCCAAAGUGAGUGUACGGUGCGAUGUGCACAUACACGUGAAAGACUGGCCCUGACCCGGGUGAGUACCAACACCAAUGCAGCAAACAAUGAACAAAUACCAUAAAUAUAGUCAUGUCGCAACCAUUCAAGAAUUCUAGUCAAUAUCAUACUAUUCAUGACCAUAAAUAUAAUCAAGGCAUCCCCUUAUAGUAAGCUUACCUGUACAUCCCAUAGGAUUAUUUCAUCAUUUCCCAACUAUAAGGUAUUUCUUAUAAACGUUAAUUUAAUCAUGGCAAUUGCAUAGAGAAUUUAUUAAUGAUUGUAUAUAUGGAAACUAACCAAUAUAUAUAAAGAAAAGACCCAUUCACAAAUCAUGUCGUCGAGUAGAACCUGCCUCGUAGCGUCAAGAGUCAUUGCAAUGACAUUUUGCCUAGAAACGAAACAAUUUAUGUAAAUACGUAACGUACUAAUGUAUAAACGCGUUUUUGUACAAAGUGUGGUUGAUAAAUGAACUAUCUUAAAAUGGUCAAAUUUCGGAAAACGAAUAGCAGAUUCGAAAUUAGCGUGUCAAAAUACACUAAG
RNAcentral lists this long non-coding RNA (2291 nucleotides) under Malus domestica (apple). RNAcentral describes it as "long non-coding RNA (MDOM_LNC002764)". Lineage: Eukaryota; Viridiplantae; Streptophyta; Magnoliopsida; Rosales; Rosaceae. The record is from RNAcentral.